GGGGGCGUAGCCUAGCACGGUUAUGGCGGCCGGCUCCAGACCGGUAGGUCCGGGGUUCAAAUCCCCGCGCCCCCACCA
RNAcentral lists this transfer RNA (78 nucleotides) under Thermoprotei archaeon. RNAcentral describes it as "tRNA-Trp". It matches the Rfam family "tRNA". Rfam says of the family: Transfer RNA (tRNA) molecules are approximately 80 nucleotides in length. Lineage: Archaea; Thermoproteati; Thermoproteota; Thermoprotei. The record is from RNAcentral.